GCUUUCUAACACAAUAAACUCCAUACCUCUUAGAACAACUUCCUAAGAGCACAGCAUAUACUAGCUGCAAGAAUACAUGGCAACUUGGAAAUCAUCCUCCACUCUUCAAAAAGCAGGAAUAUGGAGGACCACAUCAUUUUGCCACCGCUACCUCAUAAAAGGUAUGCUGCAUGCACAAUAAUGAGCUACCCUGCUUUUCUCCACAUGGACUGACUCUGUGUUGCUCUCUUAGUGAUGUCUGCAUAACCUGUAAUCAAGUAGCACCUAAGAACCCCAGUCAAGGAUCGGGGCCCUUGUGUUCGGGGCUGUACAAACACACAACAAAAGACAGUCCUUCACCCGAAGAGCUGACAGUCUAAAUAAUAUUAAAGAGCUGCUGAUGCCUUCCAGUUUCUAGGCCAAGUUCAGAGGUGACGUAAAUGCAUACAAUGGAGACUUCUCAGAGAGACCAUGUAGACAACAGAGACUGUUUGACCAAUGAGUAAUGACUAACCCAUCUCACAGUAAAGAUCUUUUCAACAAACUGGAAGAAACUAUAAAAGAAAGGAAGUAACAUCACUUGGCCUCACUUCCCCCACAACUCAACACCUGGAAACAUGUCUGGAGGACAAAGACUUUGAAUUGGGGGAAGGAGGUCUGAGACAAUAACAGGCUGGA
Molecule: long non-coding RNA, 657 nt
Organism: Dermochelys coriacea (leatherback sea turtle)
Lineage: Eukaryota; Metazoa; Chordata; Testudines; Dermochelyidae
Exons: 4
Source: RefSeq, a predicted model, not a curated record